GACGAACGCUGGCGGCGCGCUUAACACAUGCAAGUCGAACGGAAAGGCCCUGCUUUUGUGGGGUGCUCGAGUGGCGAACGGGUGAGUAACACGUGAGUAACCUGCCCUUGACUUUGGGAUAACUUCAGGAAACUGGGGCUAAUACCGGAUAGGAGCUCCUACUGCAUGGUGGGGGUUGGAAAGUUUCGGCGGUUGGGGAUGGACUCGCGGCUUAUCAGCUUGUUGGUGGGGUAGUGGCUUACCAAGGCUUUGACGGGUAGCCGGCCUGAGAGGGUGACCGGCCACAUUGGGACUGAGAUACGGCCCAGACUCCUACGGGAGGCAGCAGUGGGGAAUAUUGCACAAUGGGCGGAAGCCUGAUGCAGCAACGCCGCGUGCGGGAUGACGGCCUUCGGGUUGUAAACCGCUUUCGCCUGUGACGAAGCGUGAGUGACGGUAAUGGGUAAAGAAGCACCGGCUAACUACGUG
Molecule: ribosomal RNA, 468 nt
Filed under: uncultured bacterium
Lineage: Bacteria
Description: partial 16S ribosomal RNA
Rfam family: Bacterial small subunit ribosomal RNA
Source: RNAcentral